This is a non-coding RNA of Termitomyces sp. T159_Od127, 87 nucleotides long. The record is from the annotation of a GenBank genome assembly. Lineage: Eukaryota; Fungi; Basidiomycota; Agaricomycetes; Agaricales; Lyophyllaceae.
UCCGGUAUGGUGUAACGGCUAACAUUGCCGCCUUUCAUUCUGUUGGAUUAUUCGCGGCAGCUCGGGGUUCGAUUCCCCGUACCGGAA